This 253-nucleotide ribosomal RNA is filed under the name uncultured bacterium. RNAcentral's name for it is "partial 16S ribosomal RNA". It matches the Rfam family "Bacterial small subunit ribosomal RNA", at positions 524 to 776 of the family's 1533-position model. The record is from RNAcentral.
UACGGAGGGUGCAAACGUUGCUCGGAAUUAUUGGGCGUAAAGCGCACGUAGGCGGACCAUCAAGUCGGAUGUGAAAUCCCUCGGCUUAACCGAGGACGUGCACUCGAAACUGAUGGUCUUGAGUACGAAAGAGGAUCGCGGAAUUCCCGGUGUAGAGGUGAAAUUCGUAGAUAUCAGGAGGAACACCGAUGGCGAAGGCAGCUCGCUGGGACGGUACUGACGCUGAGGCGCGAAAGCGUGGGGAGCAAACAGG